UAUCAUACUACACCAGAAAUCUAACAAAAUACAAAUAGAACAAAAUAAUGAUAGAAUGUACACUUUAAGAUCAGCAAUUAGCUCAAACAAGUCGUCACUAUGCAUGAAUUCAGCUAAUCCUGGACCAUGCAUCCAACAAAAACUCAAACAUGAGAAAAAAGAAACAAAAGUUAAUGAAUGACACAUAUAACGUCAAAUUAAUAAUAAAAUAUGCAAUUAACAAGUCAACAUUAACGCCACAUAUAACAUCAAAUUGCACAACUUAAUAUACUCAAUACAUUAGCAUAAAUAACAUCACAUUGAACAAUGAAUUUAACACAUUCGAAUAGAUCAAUUUUAAGCUCACUAAUGGUUAAUUUAGCAUGUGAACAGCAUAUAAAUGUUUUGCAUUUACAGCAUGGUUUAAUCAACUUCAAGCAGGAAAUUAAAUGCUGUAAAUUUCCAGCAUUCAAAGUCAUUUAUGGACAGCAUUCAACUUCAAGCAGGAAACAAUAAUUAAAACUACCAUUUUUUUCAGACACCUAUUUUUUUCUUAAUUUAGGUUCUCUUAUUUAGUAAAUCAUAAUAAACAGCAUAAAACAACAAAAAGGUAACUCACAGACCACAUCAAUAAAUUUCAAACACAUAUAUUCUAGGAUUCAAUUAUACAAAUAUUUGCAAGAAAAUGUUGUUAAAUCAAAGGGAAAUACUCGAAAAAAAUAAAACACAUAACAGGCAAUAAACUAUCAAAAAAAUGACAACAUCCAAAGAUUUAAAAAAGACAAAUAUAAGAAGUGUUUCAUAAGGCUGAACACCGAAAAGUAUAACAAAAACACUAAAAAAAAAGAAGCAUAAAUCUGAUGGAUUAUAGAAUGAGUUAUGCUUUGUGGAUAAGUGAUCUUCAAAACCAAACCAACAAUAAUUUUAAUUGAUUAAAAAAAUAUAUGCACUUAAAUAGAUUUGAUUGUUUUUAUUAUUAUUAAUAAAGUCAAUAUUAUCUGGUUUAUUUCAUAUUUAUUGUUAUUUAAAAAAAAUUAUAUAUAAUAUUUAUAAAUAUUAAAUAUAAAAUAUUAAUCAAUAAUAUAAAAUACUUUUUAAUAAGCCUUGCAAAUACAAUCUAGCACUAAACAAUUUCAAAAUGAACAAGUAAAAAAAGUAUUCCAUAAAUUAAACAAUAAGAUCAUCCCAUACUAUCCAUAAUUCGAAAAAUUUAAAAAUAUGCCUUAAAUCCUUCUACUAUUAAAAAAUUUAGAAUCUAGUCCAUAUAUUUUUCCGAAUUCAAAAUUUAAGUCCAACUAUUAACGUUGUUUUAAAAUCUAAAAAAUAGAUAAACUAAAUUCUUGAAAAUAAAAGUAUAGAGAGUAAAUUUCAAAAUUUAAAAGCGUACAUGGGCUUAUGACAUAUUUUAAUCUUCUACAAAUCCAAAAUAAAGAAUAAAAUAUUUAACUUUAAAUCUAAAAUUAUAUUUUAAAAUUUAUUUUUUUAUCUACCGAUAUACCAUACUUCGGUCGGUAAAGGCGAAAUCAAUCGGUAAUCACUCAUAUAAUUAGUACCAACUAUAUUUUAUACUGGAAUAACAUUGACUACAUUUAAAAAUUGCUGAAAUCCAGACUCAAUCUUAAGUCACGCAAAUAAUAGUGGCUAGUUGAUUAAUAAAUUUGACUAUUAUGUAGGAUGGACCUAAAUAAUUAAGGAGAUCAAAAAAAUAUCAUUUAUGUUGUUUAAUUAAUAAGCAUAAAUUUAAUAUGCAAAAGGAAAUGAAGACAUAAAGUAAGAAAUCCAGUUCCCUUUUCAUGAAUGUCAAGACAAUGAGAGAAUAGUGCAGGAGAUAACAAACCUGGUUGGCGUAACUGAUACCCAUGUUUGCCCAAGCACGCACAUAGUUUGGCUUCAAAUCUAGUGCCUGAAGAUCCAAGACAUAGACCAAAAGACUAAAUUCAAUAGUGCUGAAAAUAUGGCCACCACAGGCAAAG
RNAcentral lists this long non-coding RNA (1952 nucleotides) under Gossypium barbadense (sea-island cotton). Its description in RNAcentral is "long non-coding RNA (GBAR_LNC007056)". The record is from RNAcentral. Lineage: Eukaryota; Viridiplantae; Streptophyta; Magnoliopsida; Malvales; Malvaceae.